Molecule: ribosomal RNA, 446 nt
Filed under: uncultured bacterium
Lineage: Bacteria
Description: partial 16S ribosomal RNA
Rfam family: Bacterial small subunit ribosomal RNA
Source: RNAcentral
CCUACGGGAGGCAGCAGUAGGGAAUUUUCGGCAAUGGGGGGAACCCUGACCGAGCAACGCCGCGUGAACGAAGAAGUUAUUCGUAAUGUAAAGUUCUUUUAACAGGGAAGAAAGAGAAAUUUGACGGUACCUGAAGAAUAAGCUCCGGCUAACUACGUGCCAGCAGCCGCGGGAAUACGUAGGGAGCGAGCGUUAUCCGGAAUUAUUGGGCGAAAAGGGUGAGUAGAUGGCAUAGUAAGUCUUUGGUAAAAAUGCUGGGCUAAACCCAGUAGGGCAAAAGAUACUGUAAUGCUAGAGUAUGACAGAGGCAAGUGGAACGACUGGUGUAGCGGUAAAAUGCGUAAAUAUAUGUAAGAACACCAGUGGCGAAGGCGGUGUGCUGGGUCGAUACUGACAUUGAGGCACGAAAGCGUGGGGAGCAAACAGGAUUAGAUACCCUAGUAGUC